AAGAAUGCCGUGAUAGUUGCUCAUGUCUUAAGAAUUGAUGAUAUAGUAUUACUCCUUGCCACCACUAUUCAUUCUUGGUCUCGUUAUGUUUCAAACCGGAAUACCAACAAGUGAACUUUGAUGUGUGAUUCCAAUACUUCUGGCAACCCUAUUGCCUUGAGGUUAACAACUGAUUGUUUCAUUCUUAGUGUGUUGGGUGUUGACUCAGCAUUUUUGACAUUGGUUGUGCUACCCCGUCCGUAUUUCCGAGUGCACCC
Molecule: long non-coding RNA, 257 nt
Filed under: Hordeum vulgare
Lineage: Eukaryota; Viridiplantae; Streptophyta; Magnoliopsida; Poales; Poaceae
Description: long non-coding RNA (HVUL_LNC016283)
Source: RNAcentral